Molecule: ribosomal RNA, 659 nt
Filed under: uncultured methanogenic archaeon
Lineage: Archaea; Methanobacteriati; Methanobacteriota
Description: bacterial SSU rRNA
Rfam family: Archaeal small subunit ribosomal RNA
Source: RNAcentral
AUNCCUGUGGGACCACCUGUGGCGAAGGCGUCUUACCAGAACGGGUUCGACGGUGAGGGACGAAAGCUGGGGGCACGAACCGGAUUAGAUACCCGGGUAGUCCCAGCCGUAAACGAUGCUCGCUAGGUGUCAGGCAUGGCGCGACCGUGUCUGGUGCCGCAGGGAAGCCGUGAAGCGAGCCACCUGGGAAGUACGGCCGCAAGGCUGAAACUUAAAGGAAUUGGCGGGGGAGCACAACAGCGGGUGGAGCCUGCGGUUUAAUUGGACUCAACGCCGGACAACUCACCGGGGGCGACAGCAAUAUGUAGGCCAAGCUGAAGACUUUGCCUGAAUCGCUGAGAGGAGGUGCAUGGCCGUCGCCAGUUCGUACUGUGAAGCAUCCUGUUAAGUCAGGCAACGAGCGAGACCCGUGCCCACUGUUACCAGCAUGUCCUCCGGGACGAUGGGUACUCUGUGGGGACCGCCGAUGUUAAAUCGGAGGAAGGUGCGGGCCACGGUAGGUCAGUAUGCCCCGAAUCUCCCGGGCUACACGCGGGCUACAAUGGAUGGGACAAUGGGUCCCUCCCCUGAAAAGGGCCGGUAAUCUCACAAACCCAUUCGUAGUUCGGAUCGAGGGCUGUAACUCGCCCUCGUGAAGCUGGAAUCCGUAGUGAUCGCGU